This 492-nucleotide ribosomal RNA is filed under the name uncultured bacterium. RNAcentral's name for it is "partial 16S ribosomal RNA". It matches the Rfam family "Bacterial small subunit ribosomal RNA", at positions 29 to 507 of the family's 1533-position model. The record is from RNAcentral.
AGUGAACGCUGGCGGUAGGCCUAACACAUGCAAGUCGAACGGCAGCACAGUAAGAGCUUGCUCUUACGGGUGGCGAGUGGCGGACGGGUGAGGAAUACAUCGGAAUCUACUUUUUCGUGGGGGAUAACGUAGGGAAACUUACGCUAAUACCGCAUACGACCUACGGGUGAAAGCAGGGGAUCUUCGGACCUUGCGCGAUUGAAUGAGCCGAUGUCGGAUUAGCUAGUUGGCGGGGUAAAGGCCCACCAAGGCGACGAUCCGUAGCUGGUCUGAGAGGAUGAUCAGCCACACUGGAACUGAGACACGGUCCAGACUCCUACGGGAGGGAGCAGUGGGGAAUAUUGGACAGUGGGCGCAAGCCUGAUCCAGCCAUACCGCGUGGGUGAAGAAGGCCUUCGGGUUGUAAAGCCCUUUUGUUGGGAAAGAAAAGCAGCAGGUUAAUACCCCGCUGUUCUGACGGUACCCAAAGAAUAAGCACCGGCUAACUUCGUG